Molecule: ribosomal RNA, 486 nt
Filed under: uncultured Arthrobacter sp.
Lineage: Bacteria; Bacillati; Actinomycetota; Actinomycetes; Micrococcales; Micrococcaceae
Description: bacterial SSU rRNA
Rfam family: Bacterial small subunit ribosomal RNA
Source: RNAcentral
AGAGUUUGAUCCUGGCUCAGGAUGAACGCUGGCGGCGUGCUUAACACAUGCAAGUCGAACGAUGAAACCAGCUUGCUGGUGGAUUAGUGGCGAACGGGUGAGUAACACGUGAGUAACCUGCCCUUGACUCUGGGAUAAGCCUGGGAAACUGGGUCUAAUACCGGAUAUGACUGAUCAUCGCAUGGUGGUUGGUGGAAAGCUUUUGCGGUUUUGGAUGGACUCGCGGCCUAUCAGCUUGUUGGUGGGGUAAUGGCCUACCAAGGCGACGACGGGUAGCCGGCCUGAGAGGGUGACCGGCCACACUGGGACUGAGACACGGCCCAGACUCCUACGGGAGGCAGCAGUGGGGAAUAUUGCACAAUGGGCGAAAGCCUGAUGCAGCGACGCCGCGUGAGGGAUGACGGCCUUCGGGUUGUAAACCUCUUUCAGUAGGGAAGAAGCCGCAAGGUGACGGUACCUGCAGAAGAAGCGCCGGCUAACUACGUG